Long non-coding RNA from Peromyscus eremicus (cactus mouse), 766 nucleotides. RefSeq lists it as uncharacterized. The record is from RefSeq and is a predicted model, not a curated record. Lineage: Eukaryota; Metazoa; Chordata; Mammalia; Rodentia; Cricetidae. The transcript has 3 exons.
GCCACGAGGUCUGGCCGGCCUGCGACACCAACGUCCCUGGAGAGGAAGAAUGGCGUGUUCACAGCCAUAGAAAACUAGAGACCACUGUCUUUGAAUCUAGCCUCUCCCCUUGCCUUUUGGAGGCGUCUCUGGGCGUGCGGGGAUGCCAGGGUCCCUGGUUGAAGCUUAUAAUGCUAGAAGUUUUAUACGGUAUUUAAUGUGAGUCAUGAUAGCAAGUUGUAAACACCCGACAAAUAUUAAAUACUGCGAAAAUAUGCACUAUAACAGUAUGUGAACCCUUUCAUAUUGCGUUGGAAAGCUCUCUGUGUACCCAGUCUGGUCCGGAACGUGGGAUCCUCCUGCAUCAGCCUCCGGAGGGAAGGAUUACAGGCAUGCACCACAACCUGCUUGAGGCUUUCUCUGAGGACUUGUGAUCCCAUCUAAGGGCAGGGAAAGAAAAGGAGUCCGCUCUCUACCAUCUGGAAGGGCAACUUUGGGAAACAUCUAGGAACUGCUUCCGCAAUUGUGGUUGAUUGAAAAACACUGAAUUCUAAAUUAAAAGAAGUUUAUUUCAGAGAAGAACAGAAUGAUUCCUAAAUAUCUUCCUUCAUCCCUCUCAGAAGGAUUCCAGCCAGCAGAAACUGCCGGAGACUGAAUUUUGCACAUGCUAGGUAAGUACUAUCCAUUGGGCUACAUCCCUAGUCCCAGAACACCAGGUUCCUAGCCCUAGAAAACCAGCUUACAUCCCUAGCUCCAGAACACCAGCUUACAUCCCUAGCUCCAGAAC